Molecule: ribosomal RNA, 636 nt
Filed under: Sarcophaga australis
Lineage: Eukaryota; Metazoa; Arthropoda; Insecta; Diptera; Sarcophagidae
Description: eukaryotic LSU rRNA
Rfam family: Eukaryotic large subunit ribosomal RNA
Source: RNAcentral
GUUCAGCACUAAGUCACUUUGUCUUUAUGGCAAAUGUGAGAUGCAGUGUAUGGAAUGUCAAAUUUCUAGUAUGAGAAAUUAACGAUUUAAGUCCUUCUUAAAUGAGGCCAUUUACCCAUAGAGGGUGCCAGGCCCGUAUAACGUUAAUGAUUACUAGAUGGCAUUUCCAAAGAGUCGUGUUGCUUGAUAGUGCAGCACUAAGUUGGUGGUAAACUCCAUCUAAAACUAAAUAUAMCCAUGAGACCGAUAGUAAACAAGUACCGUGAGGGAAAGUUGAAAAGAACUCUGAAUAGAGAGUUAAAUAGUACGUGAAACUGCUUAGAGGUUAAGCCCGAUGAACCUGAAUAUCCAUUAUAGAAAAUUCAUCAUUAUGAUUUUAAUAUUAAUAAUAUUAUAAUAAUGGUGUGCAUUUUUUCUAUAACGGACAUUGUAAUCUAUUAACAUAAACCAAAUUUAUCAUAAGAUCAAUGAUGCGUAAGUUUAUUCAAAUUAUUUUGCUUGCAAUUUAACAUAGAAUAAAUGCUCUUGAUUUGAUAAAGUGUUGAUAGAUUUAUUAUAUAUAGUGCUUAAAUAUUUAUAUUUUAUAAUAGCAUAUUAAUCAUUGAUUUUUAUGUUUAUUAUAUGCACUUAUAUGAU